GACGAACGCUGGCGGCGUGCUUAACACAUGCAAGUCGAACGGAAAGGCCCUGCUUUUGUGGUGUGCUCGAGUGGCGAACGGGUGAGUAACACGUGAGUAACCUGCCCUUGACUUUGGGAUAACUUCAGGAAACUGGGGCUAAUACCGGAUAGGAGCUCCUGCUGCAUGGUGUGGGUUGGAAAGUUUCGGCGGUUGGGGAUGGACUCGCGGCUUAUCAGCUUGUUGGUGGGGUAGUGGCUUACCAAGGCUUUGACGGGUAGCCGGCCUGAGAGGGUGACCGGCCACAUUGGGACUGAGAUACGGCCCAGACUCCUACGGGAGGCAGCAGUGGGGAAUAUUGCACAAUGGGCGGAAGCCGGAUGCAGCAACGCCGCGUGCGGGAUGACGGCCUUCGGGUUGUAAACCGCUUUCGCCUGUGACGAAGCGUGAGUGACGGUAAUGGGUAAAGAAGCACCGGCUAACUACGUG
Molecule: ribosomal RNA, 468 nt
Filed under: uncultured bacterium
Lineage: Bacteria
Description: partial 16S ribosomal RNA
Rfam family: Bacterial small subunit ribosomal RNA
Source: RNAcentral